This 118-nucleotide ribosomal RNA is filed under the name Aotus nancymaae (Ma's night monkey). Lineage: Eukaryota; Metazoa; Chordata; Mammalia; Primates; Aotidae. The record is from RNAcentral.
GUCUACGGCCAUACCACCCUGAACGCGCCCGCCCGAUCUCGUCUGAUCUUGGAAGCUAAGCAGGAUCGGGCCUGGUUAGUACUUGGAUGGGAGGAAUAUUAUAGGUGAAUUGAAAUUU